AUACGGGGGGGGCAAGCGUUGUUCGGAUUUACUGGGCGUAAAGGGCGUGUAGGCGGUUUUGUAAGUCAGACGUGAAAGCCCCAGGCUCAACCUGGGAAUUGCGUUUGAAACUGCAUGACUUGAGUACAGGAGAGGAAAGUGGAAUUCCAAGUGUAGCGGUGAAAUGCGUAGAUAUUUGGAAGAACACCAGUGGCGAAGGCGACUUUCUGGCCUGAAACUGACGCUGAGGCGCGAAAGCUAGGGGAGCAAACAGGAUUAGAAACCCUAGUAGUCC
RNAcentral lists this ribosomal RNA (274 nucleotides) under uncultured bacterium. Its description in RNAcentral is "partial 16S ribosomal RNA". It matches the Rfam family "Bacterial small subunit ribosomal RNA", at positions 523 to 796 of the family's 1533-position model. The record is from RNAcentral.